This 1006-nucleotide long non-coding RNA is filed under the name Homo sapiens (human). RNAcentral's name for it is "HSALNT0407315". The record is from RNAcentral. Lineage: Eukaryota; Metazoa; Chordata; Mammalia; Primates; Hominidae.
CGUGGGCACACGACCCGAGCAGUCACACAGGACCCUGUGAUCAGAAUGGCCUCACUUGGGUUUAAUACUCUGCUGUCUUCAUCUUAAAAUUCUUAAUAAUUUAAUGUUUGAGCCCGUGCUUUGUAAGUGAAGUCUGAUGGAACAACGGAGCAUGCGCGUGAGUAGAGGAGAUACAGACGAUACGUGUGUCUGAGUUUUUUGUGGCUCCAUUAGCAUAUGGUGUUGAUGAUGCCCCCUGAGCACAGAAUUCUGGUGAGCCCACAAUGCAUGGGAGUUCAGCGAGAUUCAAUGCCAGUACAAGAUGGAGUCUCGCUCUGUCGCCCAGGCUGGAAUGCAGUGGUGUGAUCUCGGCUCACUGCAACCUCCGCCUUCCGGGUACAAGUGAUUCUCCUGCCUCAGCCUCCCAAGUAGCUGGAAUUACAGGUCCACUUUUGGAAACUCCCAUCAUGCCUCCUGCCUAUGGAUCAUCUCUUUGGCUGAGAACCGAGCUAACUCACUCAAGAUCCCAAUUAGUGACUCCUCAUGAGAUGGAAGUAAUUCUCCGGCAUCGUCCUCAUUUGAUUUCAGAAAAUCCAGCAGUUCUGGACUUCACAGUUGCACCACACGGUAUUGGGCUGUGGUCUGCUUCCUGGCAACCAAAGGGCAGGACAUAGGUAGCUGAUAAGGAAGGAGUGAAGGAUGUCUGCGUGGGGGCAAAUUUCAUGCAAAAUUCAUUACUGAAUAUUUCUGUAAUAUGACAAUUUCUGCUUUCCUAGCCAACCAUACAACUGCAGAGAUCCACAGAGCUACCGUUUGAGGAAUAAGGAACCCUGUACAUAGCCAGGGGCAUUCUAAAAUCCCCAAACUUGAAUCCUACUUCCGACUUUGCUAGGACACCGCAGGAAUUACCAUCAAAGAAGGAAAAAGAUGCACAGAAGUUUCCCAUUCGACAGCUACGAUUCUACAACCCCAUAGUCUUUCUAAACCACAGGCUGCAUUUUCCAUUUUGUUUUGCUGUGUUUUCCUU